GGUGGAUUAGCCCACCAACAGAAAUAUCAGGGGUAGUUAUUACAUUAUUAGUGUCGAAUGUACUACACCAGAUGCAUAAAUCAUGCCAACUUGUUAUUUUAUUCAUAUAAGGGUGAUGGGUGUCACAUAUGGAGCAGCAUAUGUUCACUCUUCCAGAGCACCUGAGAUCAGCUCCAGUUUUGGACAGGUUAAUGUUGCUCGGUCUUUAUAGUUUUCUGUAGUGUGUUUUGUGUACUUUUGUUUGUCUGUUGGUCUAAUUUAUUUUUUAGCCCAUUGUGUUUUCAGUUUAUUUACAACUUAUGAGUUUGAAUGUCCCAUAAGUAUCUGUAGCCUCUCUUUUAAAUCAUAUAGCAUGAAUUCAGGAGACAAUCAAGCAGGACAAGCUCCUUACCUUUACUUCUUUUCAUGGGUGCAUGAAAUCCUGCAAGUUAUAACUGUGGUUUAAAAGUAGAUUGAUUGACUGAUUGAUUGAUUGUUUGUGUUUAUUCACCACUUUUAAGCGCCACUUGUAUGCUAUUUCAUGGAGAUCUGUUUUUAUGGGUGAAGGUUGAAAACAAACAGAAUUUUCAUUAAUUAUCAUUAAAAUUGAGAAUGGAAAUAGGGAACAGAUCAGUUUGAAUAAAAACAGUUUUCA
RNAcentral lists this long non-coding RNA (634 nucleotides) under Mytilus galloprovincialis (Mediterranean mussel). Lineage: Eukaryota; Metazoa; Mollusca; Bivalvia; Mytilida; Mytilidae. The record is from RNAcentral.